This 386-nucleotide RNase P RNA is filed under the name uncultured Neobacillus sp. RNAcentral describes it as "Bacterial RNase P class B". It matches the Rfam family "Bacterial RNase P class B". Rfam says of the family: Ribonuclease P (RNase P) is a ubiquitous endoribonuclease, found in archaea, bacteria and eukarya as well as chloroplasts and mitochondria. Its best characterised activity is the generation of mature 5'-ends of tRNAs by cleaving the 5'-leader elements of precursor-tRNAs. Cellular RNase Ps are ribonucleoproteins. Lineage: Bacteria; Bacillati; Bacillota; Bacilli; Caryophanales; Bacillaceae. The record is from RNAcentral.
UCGGGUAAUCGCGGCAAUAAGCUUUUGCAAAUUGCUGAGGAAAGUCCAUGCUCGCACGAUGCUGAGAUGCUCGUAGUGUUCGUGCCUAGCGAAUUCAUAAGCUAGGGCAGCUGGUGCAUACCAGUUGACGGCUGGGAAAAUACCUAAGUCAUUUGAUAUGGUAUGAGUACCUUUAAAAGUGCCACAGUGACGUAACCUCUCCAGAAAUGGAGAGGGUGGAACGGGUAAACCCCGCGAGCGAGAAACCCAAAUUAUGGUAGGGGCAUCUUCCCAGAGGAAAUGAACGACGGGAAGGACAGAUGAUGUUCAUCUGUAGAUAGAUGAUUACCGCCUAAGUACGAGACGACGGUCGCUUGCAGUACUUUGGAACAGAACAUGGCUUACAG